Megamonas funiformis YIT 11815 is the source of this 191-nucleotide non-coding RNA. The record is from Rfam. Lineage: Bacteria; Bacillati; Bacillota; Negativicutes; Selenomonadales; Selenomonadaceae.
UCAAAUCCAAUGAUACAGAGUAGUAAAUUAUUUAAGGAUUUUUCAGAAAGUAGGCGGUUGAUGCGAGCCUAUAAUCAUGUAAUUGAACUCGCUGUGGAGGAGUGCAAAAGCACCGCUAAUCCCGUUAAGAUUUUAAAGAGGAUAACUUUUUGUUAUCAAUCAGGGUGGUACCGCGAUAAUUCGUCCCUGGC